UACAAUUGGUCAAAAAGAUCGUCGAUUUGAGGUAGGGGAUAUUUCCUCUUUAUUGUUACUUGGUUGAGUUUCUCAGUAGUCUACGUAUAGUCUGAGGGAGCCAUCCUUUUUUUUUCACAAAUAACACCAGAGCACCCCAAGGGGAGUGACUAGAGCAAAUAAACUUCUGGCCAAUAAGCUCAAAAAGCUAUUUUUCCAGUUCUACGAGCUCAGCACAAC
Molecule: long non-coding RNA, 219 nt
Filed under: Carica papaya (papaya)
Lineage: Eukaryota; Viridiplantae; Streptophyta; Magnoliopsida; Brassicales; Caricaceae
Description: long non-coding RNA (CPAP_LNC015974)
Source: RNAcentral